Monodelphis domestica (gray short-tailed opossum) is the source of this 5473-nucleotide non-coding RNA. The record is from RefSeq and is a predicted model, not a curated record. Lineage: Eukaryota; Metazoa; Chordata; Mammalia; Didelphimorphia; Didelphidae.
AGAGAGGAAGAAGUCAAGAAUCACCAUGAGAUUGCAAACCUAGGAGAAUGGUAGAAUAGUGAUGCCAUUCAUAGAAAUGACAUGGACAGAAGAGGAAUGGGGUUAGGGGAAAAUAUGAGUUAUAUUUUGUACAUGUUGUGCUUGAGAUGCCUAUGAGACAUCCAAAAGGAGAUUUCCACAAGGCAUUUGGCGAUAUGGGUAGUAUAUGUGAAAGAUUAUCUAAAGAUGCAUAAUUUGGAAGUCAUUGGCAUCAAAAUGGUGAGCUCACUAAGACUGUAGAGGGAUGUUUUAAGAUAGAAACAAGAGAUACAGCCCUCAUUAAUGGAAGAUAGACAGAUGAUCAAAUAAAAGAGAAUAAGGAGUGUUCAGAUAAGUAGUUCAAGAAUUAAGGCAGAGCAGUGUUGUUUCUUCUUGACUUCUGUCAAGGGAGCUAAAAGUACUAAGGAAUAGAUUGUGGUUAAGAAUGCUAAAAAACUACAGAGAGGUGAAGAAUGAGAAGAGCCCAAUUUUGCAAUUAGAUCAUUAGUAAUUUUGGAGAGGUUAAUUUCAGUCAAACAGUGAUCAAUAUGGAUCAGUAAGGAAGCAAUGGCUAUAAAUUAUCUUUUCUAGGAAUUCACCUAUGAAAGAAGAGUCACAGAAUGUCAGAUAAAAGGAUGUGAAAGACUUUUACAAUAGAGAGGAGACCUAGACAUAUUUGUCAUCUUCAGGAAAAGAGUGAGCAGGUACAAAAAAAUGACAGAUGAGAGAAAGAGAAUUGUUAUAGAUACAAGCUUCCAAAGGAUACAGGAGGAAAUAAGAUCAAAAACACCAGUGAAAGAUUAGACUUUAUACAAAGUGUUACUUUUUUCUGGGAGUUGAUAAGAAAGGAAGCAAAAAGGGUGGAAUUAAUAAAAUAAACAAAAGGGAUUUGAGGAAUAAAUAAUAAUAGAAAAGGAGUUCAAAAUGGAAGGCUUUUAAUUUUUCAGUACAGUAGGAAAAGGGAAUUCUUCAUUGAAGAGGUAUGGAAAGGAGAUAAUAUAGGGAAUUUGAAGUGAGAAGAAAAAAAUUGGAAUAACUAAUAUCAAGAGUAUGACAGAGAAAAAGGAAAGAAAAAUAAGAUUACCAUGCAGCUAUGAGGAUCCUAUUGAUAUCAGAUAACACUAGUUUUGUAGGCCGAGGUGGGAGAGCCACAUGCAAGAAGCAGAGAAGACCUAUACUGAGUUUUGUGGAAAGGAAACUAGACUAACAGUUUGUGUGGGGGAAGGGCCAACUGAGAGUGGCAGUUGGGUCUUGUGACUAGCACUUCCUUCCUGCCGGGAGUGGCAAUUGGGUCUGGUGACUAGCACUUCCUUCCUGCCGGGUGGGACUGGCUUGCGGGUGUCAGAGGAGAGAGGAGCUUGUUCAGCCCAGUCUGGAGUGGCAUGCUCUUCUUGGUUCAGCCCAAAGACACAGGCUUCUAAAGGUUAGAAUUGUUCUUGUUUGCUUUCUGUGUACUGCUAAGAUUCUGAAUUAGAACAACGAGAGUAGACGGGAGUGGGACAAACUUUCCACCAGCCUCUGGGGCCUGGCCUCAGGUCUGAAGCUGAGAAAAACUCCAAUCCCAACUGGAUUAUUAAACUUUAUAUUAUUAAAUUCACAGUCAGAUAAGUGGACUAUCUUUCUGGUCAUAGAGGGAGCUGAACUUCAGUUUCAGUCAUUCAAAGACAAACCGUCCUUAUUGGACCCCUGCUGUUUACUCUCAGCAGGGGGCAUCUCCCUCCCUUGCCUCACCAAGCAAUAUACCCUCUCUCCCCUUAACUCCUCAUUAUCCCAUACAAACCCCCCAUUAUCCCCCUGUUUUCCAAAUCUUCCUAUUUCCUUUCCCAAUAAAUAUUACAGUUUCAACCAGGAUUGAGAUUUGACAAUAUGUAACUAAUUAUAAAACAAGAAAGGAAAGGUAAUCAAAGGCAUUGGGUAGUGUAGAGAUGAACUGGUCAGUAAUAGGGUCAAAACUGUUAAGUCAAAAAAGGGAAGAUACAGCUAGAGUAAUGGAACUGGAGAAGAGGAAGAGCUUGAGGCACCAGAGAUCAUGAUGAUAAUUUUUAAAAUAGGGUUAGGAUGAGUAAGAAGAUGGGAAAUAUGGAAAGGAUAAAAAGUUGUGCUCCUUGAAAGGAAUUUCUGAUUUCUGGAUUACUCAGAUAGAACAGUUAUGAUUGAUGUUUCCAUCCUUUCGAUCCUUAAGAUGCAGCCAUUGCUAUAGGAGACUAAUGUCGAGAGAUUAAGGUAGGGCAAGAGAGUCGAGAAAACUGGUGAACUGUGUGGAGUCAGGGUCAUAUAGGGGAUUUUUGACAUAUAUUGAGGUAUCAAGUAUGAGGCAAGAUGUUUGGGUGGAGAAGAAGACUGAAUUAUUACUGAACUCUUUGAAAAAGGAAAACUAGUGAACUGCAAUGAGUUAGAAAGACUCCAGCAAAAGGAUCUUGAUGGGUUAUAAAGGUGACUGAUAAAAUGUAAUCUCAACUUGACCCUCAUUGUAGCAAAACAACUUCUUUUUACUCCUACUAGGAGUAAAAAGAGCCAACUGAGCGACCCUCAAAGAGUUCUGGGAGUCACAAUAUAAAGCAAGAGCACAGGUAAUUGAUGGUACAUAGUAUAGAGAAUGUUUUAUAUGUACUAUAUAUAAAGGUUGUCUAUCAGACAUAGAGGUGUAUGGGAGAGGGGUGUAUGGGGUGCUCAGGGAGGGGUAAUAUCUCUGGUAUGGAGGGCUUGUCGUGCCCUUCUAGGGCAGCUCUCCAGCCUCUGACCCCCACCUGACACCCAGCUCUCACUUGUGGCUCCUAGUAGCUGCUAGCAUGGGGCAGUGGCCACACCCCGGGCAACGGCUUCGACAGGCCAGCUAAACCUUGUGAGGGUAGCCAUCGGGUCGACAUUGACCCCUGGUGAACUAGGGCUUUGCUCACCCAGCAUGUGAAGACUGCUUUGGCGGAACAGGCGGAACCAACAAGAAGGUUCAAUGGCUGAGAUGGUGAUGCAGCAAGGCACUGUGGAGUGCUUAGGGCGUGAUGGAGCACAAAAGACAACACGACCAUCCAAUGCAGCUGAGGAAGUCUCCAGGUGUAACGACUUUUCGUGCCAAUGGACCCAGGCUUCCAACGCCAAGAGAGUGGGACUGUCUCUGUGCAUCGACUUUUCCACUUAAAUCUUCAUGCACAGGUGUCUUUGUGCACAAAAACGCACAAAGACAAUCGUCAUCCUCAGUUCAAGAGACAACCAACAACAACAUCAGACAGAUACUGAGUGAAGAGACAAUAAUUCCAAGGUAAAUUGGCUUUUGAAAAUUUAAAGGAUCACUAGUCAUUUCAGAGAUUAAUUUCAGUGGAGUGAUGACACUAUGUUCCAAUGGACUGAAAUAUAAGGAGAAAAAGACGAAAAAAAUUUAGAUACCAUUUUCUAGGAGUUGGACUCAAUGAAGAUUAGAGGUAAUUGUGGGAGCAAUCUUCUGAAGAAGUCAGAAGAAAAUAGAAAGUGUGGGAGACUUCAGAUAAGCAAAGGUUUUUAAGGGUUCCUAUGAACAUCUUCAUUGUCUCCGGAUCUGCUGACUCAUUUUCUGCUGACCACAAAUAUGCCCAUUCAUAAAAGUCCUUUAUUUAACCCAACCAUCCCUUCAAACUAUAAUUCCAUAUCUCUCCUCCCUUUUGCAGCCCAACUCCUAGAAAAUGGUAUCUAAAUUUUUUCCUCUUUGUCUCUUGCUUUAUAUUGUGACUCCCAGAACUCUUUGAGGGUCGCUCAGUUGUCUCUAAGAGAUUAGUUAUUCAGGUACUGAGCCUAGGCUUAGAAGGCUGGAGCCUAGAAGAGCAAAUACUGGUGAUGAACAGUUUGAGUGCAGCAAUGCACCUCCUUGGCUGGUGUGUUUAUGCUGGGAAUCAUUAUUAUGACUGGUAAGUUGACAUAAGCCUUAUCAAACAUUUUACUGGCUAAUUAGUAUUUUAUUUGAAAAAAUCCACCUUUUUGUGUUUAAUUGCCACAGAAGAACUAAAUAAUCCCUUGGUAAAGAUCAUAAAUGGUUAGUAUUAGUAGGAAUAUUGGCGAUCCUCAUUUUGUAAGUGGGAAAAAUAAGUCCCAAAGAGAAUAGCCACCAAGAUGGUCUGAGACUUCAUUACUCGUGGCUCCUAAUACAAUGAUCUUGUUUCUCCACUUCAGAAUUCACCAGUGACAGAAGCCAGUUGUCUCUGGCAAAUGCCAUUAGGUCAUUUUUUAGUGUUUUACUCACUGAAUUAUCCUUACUUCCUAUAUGGAGAGAAGAAUAUACAAGAGCAAAAGGAUAAAAGGAAAAGAUCUUCACUUUUCUGAAUGAGACAGUGGGACUAGAUGAUGUUCAAAGUCCUUUCCAGCACUAAAAAUGUUUCCAAUGGACAUCUGGAAAACAAAAGAAAAUGCAAAGGGGAAAAUCUAUUAUGUCUAUUAAGAAAACCUGUUUUCAUCUUUACUUAGAGAAUGUUGAUGCAGCAUUUGUUGACAUUCAUGAAUUCUGUCAAUAUUCCAGUUAUCACUGAACUGUUUGUAUAUGAGUUUAUCUGAUGAGAAAAUAACCUAUUCCUGCUUAUAGAAUCCAAGCCUCCCUCCCAGAUCCAUGUUCAAGUUGCUCUGGAUUCUUUGAGUUGAUGUCAGUCUUAAACAACAAAUCAGAACAUCAGUAGUCUAUCACUUCAAAUUUUGAAUAGCAUUAUAUACACAUUGGUCAGGAUAAAUCUCUGAAUACAAACUCAUGCAGUACUUUAAAAAGUCAUCUCUUUCCCCUGCUUUAAGCUUGCAUUGUAUUUAGACUAAUAGUCCUGAAGUCUCAGACUUGCUCUAUGAGUAUAUUCUAUGGGACUCAUUUUUCUUACUUAUAAGAUGAGAACCUCAAAUGUUCCUAUCAAUACUUAAAUAAUCAUGACCUUUCCCAAGAUGUAAAAUGACAUAUUACUACCACUUUCCCAUCUGUCUCCUUUAUCUUAGUUUUGCCCUUAUGCACAGAAUUAAAGUUCAUUAAUUUCUACAGUGUGCUUACAUCUAAGAAUCUUUCAGUGUUAUGAUAGGAAAUCAUUUAAGCUUCUUUGUAUAUUUUCCCCUAAACCUAGAAUGAUUCCAGAAAUAAGACUGCGAUUCCUCAGGUUGAACUUGUUUGCUCAUUUUUGGUUUUGCAAAAUGUCUCAAUCCAAGAAAGUAAAAAAAAAAACUAAAAGGAAAUGGAUGAUGGUAAGUUUUCAUCAUGGUAAAUUUAUUAGCUAACUUUAACUAUGUGUAUUUUCACAUUCUAACCACUGAAUGAUGAGACUAUUUGGAACCUCAAUUGUAAGCAAGAAAACUAGAGAAACCCAUAUGGUGAUUUGACAAAGCUCCAAGGACAAGAAUUCAACAAAACACAACAGUGUAAGAAAAAAAUAACACAGCCUUAAAGAGUAUGGUUUUAUAGUUUAUUUUUUGUUUUGUUUUUUCCUUCAGAGGAAAUUCUUGUUUUAUUAUGUACUUAGUAACU